This 1138-nucleotide long non-coding RNA is filed under the name Marmota monax (woodchuck). The record is from RNAcentral. Lineage: Eukaryota; Metazoa; Chordata; Mammalia; Rodentia; Sciuridae.
AAGCAGGCUGGGGCCAGUAGGGGGUGAAGCUGGAGAUCACAGAGGGCUCAGGUCCGGUGGGGUUUGUGGGUCUCACAAAGAAUUGGAAUUUUUUUAAGAGUACAAAUGGAGGCCAUUGGAGGGAUUUUAGCCAGGACAGUGAAGCAAUCCAAUUUCAUUUUGUAAAAGACCCCUCUGUUAAUUACUAGAAAUUCUCUGCUAACAUUUACGGGUUGCCAUGUGCCAGACACUAUGCCAGCCAUUUUACACAGUAAAAUUACAAUAAAAUCCAAACUCCUUUCCAUAUCCUACCAUUGCAGCUUAAGUUGUGUCCCCUAGAAAGAUCUGUUGAAGUUCUACUGUCCUGUUCCUCAAAGUGUAAACUUACUUGGAAAUACAGUCUUUAAAAAGAUAAUCGAAUGAAAACGAGAUCCUUAGGGUGGGCCCUAAUUCAAUGUGACUGAUGUCGUAACAAGGGGAGGUUUGGGCACAGACAGAUAUGUGGAGACUCAGGGAGACCCUGUGAGAGUAGAGAUUGGAGUGACAAUUCACUGAGGAACAUGGGAGACAGCAGUCAAACCACAGAAGCUGGAAUGGGGACAUGGAACGACUGACCUUCUCCUCUCUUGGAAGGAACCAACCCAAGUGACACCCUUGUUUCAGUCUUCCAGGCUCCAGAAUGAGGAGAAAAAAAUUGUUAUUUGAAGGCAGUCAGUUUGUGCAACUUUGUCUUGGCAAAGCCCAGGACACAAAUACCACUCUUUCUCCCUCACCCACUGCAGUCAGUGCUGCUGGUCUUCUCCAGUCCUGCUCACAGCCCCUGCACCUGCCCUCCCUGUGUGGAGUGAGUGCCUCAAGAUUGGCACAUGGCUGGCCCUUCCUGUCCUUCAGCCUGCACAGUGAGCAGCAACUCCUCAGCCAGGCCCUCUUGGACUUCUGAUCUAAACUGGCACCCUCACCCCUGUCUACCCCACCCCUGUGCUCAAGGACACAGAACACAUACCCUGUUUUACGUUUUAUUUUUGCAAUACUUUCUACUCCCUGAAGCAAUCUUUUUCAUGUACUUACUUGUUUAUGGUCUGUCUCUCUUCUUUCCUUGUUCUAUCUCCCACCUAGAAAAUAAGGAACAAGAACAGAAGGCUUCUUUACUUAACACUUG